UUUAUAUUGCAAAUAAGGGCAGUUUGAUGGGUUUUAUUGCAGAACAACCAUUAAUGAAGUGCAGUUUCAGGCACCUUAAUUGCUCAGGGACCAAAGUUCAGUCCGUAUCUGCAGCACGAGCUGGGAGCUGCCGUGUGUCCCGCGAGGGCCGGGCAGGUUGUGAACGGGACCGGGGAUGGAUUUAUGGGCACGGUGAGGAGGAUGGAGGCAAGGGACCGAACCCACCUGGGGGGGUUAAAGCAGCGUGGGACAAACAGCACGGCCCGGGCUGGAGGGAGGGGAGAGCCCGUGGUGUCCCUGCCAUGGUGUCACCCCAGUGUCACCCCAGCGCCAGCCUGGGGGCCCGCAGUGGGUACUCACCAUGGGAUGCAUUUUGGGAUGUGGGUCCCCAAGCACUUGCGAUGCUGGUGCUGCCCCAGGGCCUGGGCAGGAGCGAUGCAGAGCCAGGGCCGCGGGGGGACCCUGAGAAGCCCCCCAGAACAAAGCACGCGUGGGUGUGCAAGGCACAGAGGGGCGAGCAGGUGGACACAGCACCGGGGGUACAACCACGGGGGAUGCAACCACGCACACUCAGGACACGAUCGCGCCCGCCCCACGCGAGCCCCGGCACCGUCACACCGCGCGUGGACCCGCUCCCCACCUGCACGCACCCACGCCUAGCACAGGCACUGAGAUGUACCGAGCCGUCCCGAGCCGCACGGUGCCAUAGCGGAGCUUACCGGGCCGCACGGAGCCUUACCGGACCUCACCGGGCCGUACCGACCCUCACGGUGCCGUGCCGCGCCCCCGCGCGCGCCCGUUCAUUCACUCGCCCGCGCCGUGGGAACGAGCCGCGCGCGCCGCGGGCGGGAAGCGCAGCCCCGCGCUGGCCCCGCCCCUCCCAGCGCGCAUGAAUGAGCGCGCCCCGCCCAGCUCCAUAUGAGGGCAUCCGGCGUCGCUCUGUGGGAGGAGCCUAGCCGGGCCGCCCCGCCCUUUCGCUCCGCCAAUCAGAGCGGCGCGCCGGGCCCCCCGCCGGGCUCCGGCCUUUGUUUGUGGAGGGCUCCGAGGCCAAUGGGAGCGCGGGACGAGGGUCGCUGGGCCAAUGAGAGCGCGGAACGAGAGGCUCUGGGCCAAUGGGAGCACGGGACGGGGGUCGCUGGGCCAAUGGGCGCGCGGGGGGG
Molecule: long non-coding RNA, 1160 nt
Filed under: Junco hyemalis (dark-eyed junco)
Lineage: Eukaryota; Metazoa; Chordata; Aves; Passeriformes; Passerellidae
Description: lncRNA (ENSJHYG00000002273.1)
Source: RNAcentral